AUUUAAAUAUCUUAAUUAAAAGAGUAAUAUUGAAGAUAUUGAUAUGCAAUUUUAUUGCUUUAAAUA
This 66-nucleotide transfer RNA is filed under the name Hypselosoma matsumurae. RNAcentral's name for it is "tRNA-Phe". The record is from RNAcentral. Lineage: Eukaryota; Metazoa; Arthropoda; Insecta; Hemiptera; Schizopteridae.